CCGAGUUAGGGUUCCUCUCACGGGCCCGACCUCCCAACCCUGUGUCUAUCACACCUUGUCGUUGCUUCGGCGGACCGGUUGGACCCCUGUGUGGGGUCAUGACCGCCGGGGGUGCCUACCUCUGGAGCGCGUCCGCCGAUGGCCCAACCACAAACUUCUUUGUUCCAAACUGGUCGUCUAAAGAAUUCUUGAUAUCAAUCAAAAACA
This 207-nucleotide unclassified non-coding RNA is filed under the name uncultured Chaetothyriales. Its description in RNAcentral is "sequence contains ITS1". The record is from RNAcentral. Lineage: Eukaryota; Fungi; Ascomycota; Eurotiomycetes; Chaetothyriales.